UAUAUGCAAUGGUGUCCGA
RNAcentral lists this unclassified non-coding RNA (19 nucleotides) under Mus musculus (house mouse). RNAcentral's name for it is "oocyte_clustered_small_RNA1232". The record is from RNAcentral. Lineage: Eukaryota; Metazoa; Chordata; Mammalia; Rodentia; Muridae.